ACAGUGUCCGUUCCGGCUGGAAGCCCCGAUCUGAGCCUCCACGCCCUCUGCCAAGAUCUCCUCCAGAGAGAGCACGUCCUCCCUGACCUUCUGAGGCUGAGAGAGGAGCUUUCUCAACACAUUCCUGGAGAAGAACAGCCCGGGGGCUGAUGGGAGUCGUACCUGUGGCCGUGGGCGGCGGCGUGACUAAAGCAGUUCAUGUCCUCAUACAGCGAUGAUGUCAGCGUGUUAGCGCCCUGGGAUCUCAGCCGGGGGUCCGCACCUCGCGCCAGCAGUAGGCUGACCAUUUCGUAAUUCCCUGCGAAACACGAUGAGCGGAGGAAAAACAGAUGUGUGAUGAGCUGGUACACACCUGCUGCAGAUGCCAGCUGAAGAGGCGUCUCGGCACCGCUCUCUUGUUCAUUACGGAUGGCUGCUCCUUCAACGUUUGCACCGGCAUCUAAAAGCAGCUUAGAAAAUAACCAAAAACUAUUAGUACCGAGUCAUAUCUAAGGCUGCCAGAGUCAGUGAUGUCAUACAAAUGGUAGUACACACCGCUACAUCUAGAUUGGCCCCGGCGUCUAUCAACAUCUGGACUAAAGCUUCAUCUCCAGCCGAGCAGGCGUACAUCAGC
Molecule: long non-coding RNA, 613 nt
Organism: Triplophysa dalaica
Lineage: Eukaryota; Metazoa; Chordata; Actinopteri; Cypriniformes; Nemacheilidae
Exons: 4
Source: RefSeq, a predicted model, not a curated record